UCUAGAAGUGAUGUUUCUUAUUACCGCCCCAGUCUGAAAAUUCAUGACUGAUUGGUUAUCUCUGAUCAAAA
RNAcentral lists this small nucleolar RNA (71 nucleotides) under Cyclopterus lumpus (lumpfish). Lineage: Eukaryota; Metazoa; Chordata; Actinopteri; Perciformes; Cyclopteridae. The record is from RNAcentral.